This 577-nucleotide ribosomal RNA is filed under the name uncultured bacterium. RNAcentral's name for it is "partial 16S ribosomal RNA". It matches the Rfam family "Bacterial small subunit ribosomal RNA", at positions 355 to 923 of the family's 1533-position model. The record is from RNAcentral.
UGGGGAAUUUUGGACAAUGGGCGAAAGCCUGAUCCAGCAAUGCCGCGUGUGUGAAGAAGGCCUUCGGGUUGUAAAGCACUUUUGUCCGGAAAGAAAUCCUUGGCUCUAAUACAGUCGGGGGAUGACGGUACCGGAAGAAUAAGCACCGGCUAACUACGUGCCAGCAGCCGCGGUAAUACGUAGGGUGCAAGCGUUAAUCGGAAUUACUGGGCGUAAAGCGUGCGCAGGCGGUUUGCUAAGACCGAUGUGAAAUCCCCGGGCUCAACCUGGGAACUGCAUUGGUGACUGGCAGGCUAGAGUAUGGCAGAGGGGGGUAGAAUUCCACGUGUAGCAGUGAAAUGCGUAGAGAUGUGGAGGAAUACCGAUGGCGAAGGCAGCCCCCUGGGCCAAUACUGACGCUCAUGCACGAAAGCGUGGGGGAGCAAACAGGAUUAGAUACCCUGGUAGUCCACGCCCUAAAACGAUGUCAACUAGUUGUUGGGGAUUCAUUUCCUUAGUAACGUAGCUAACGCGUGAAGUUGACCGCCUGGGGAGUACGGUCGCAAGAUUAAAACUUAAAUGAAUUGACGGGGUCAUA